AUUGAACGCUGGCGGCAGGCCUAACACAUGCAAGUCGAGCGGAUGAAGGGAGCUUGCUCCUGGAUUCAGCGGCGGACGGGUGAGUAAUGCCUAGGAAUCUGCCUGGUAGUGGGGGAUAACGUCCGGAAACGGGCGCUAAUACCGCAUACGUCCUGAGGGAGAAAGUGGGGGAUCUUCGGACCUCACGCUAUCAGAUGAGCCUAGGUCGGAUUAGCUAGUUGGUGGGGUAAAGGCCUACCAAGGCGACGAUCCGUAACUGGUCUGAGAGGAUGAUCAGUCACACUUGAACUGAGACACGGUCCAGACUCCGAAGGGAAGCAACAGUGGGGAAAUUUGGACAAUGGGCGAAAGCCUUAUCCAGCCAUGGCGCGGGGUGGAAGAAGGUCUUCGGAAUGGUAAGCAAUUUAAGUUGGGAGGAAGGGCAGGAAGUUAAUACCUUGCUGGUUUGACGUUACCAACAGAAUAAGCACCGGCUAACUUCGUG
RNAcentral lists this ribosomal RNA (484 nucleotides) under uncultured bacterium. Its description in RNAcentral is "partial 16S ribosomal RNA". It matches the Rfam family "Bacterial small subunit ribosomal RNA", at positions 30 to 507 of the family's 1533-position model. The record is from RNAcentral.